CGCUAUCACUCCUACGGGAGGCAGCAGUGGGGAAUAUUGCACAAUGGGGGAAACCCUGAUGCAGCCAUGCCGCGUGUGUGAAGAAGGCCUUCGGGUUGUAAAGCACUUUCAGUAGGGAGGAAGGUAGUGUAGUUAACACCUGCAUUAUUUGACGUUACCUACAGAAGAAGCACCGGCUAACUCCGUGCCAGCAGCCGCGGUAAUACGGAGGGUGCGAGCGUUAAUCGGAAUUACUGGGCGUAAAGCGCAUGCAGGCGGCCUGUUAAGUCAGAUGUGAAAGCCCGGGGCUUAACCUCGGAAUUGCAUUUGAAACUGGCAGGCUAGAGUCUUGUAGAGGGGGUAGAAUUUCAGGUGUAGCGGUGAAAAUGCGUAGAGAUCUGAAGGAAUACCAGUGGCGAAGGCGGCCCCCUGGACAAAGACUGACGCUCAGGAUGCGAAAGCGUGGGGAGCAAACAGGAUUAGAUACCCUGGUAG
Molecule: ribosomal RNA, 474 nt
Filed under: uncultured bacterium
Lineage: Bacteria
Description: bacterial SSU rRNA
Rfam family: Bacterial small subunit ribosomal RNA
Source: RNAcentral